AGUCACUGACAUUAGAUACCCCUGUAGUCCAGGGUGUAAACGCUGCAGACUUGGUGUUGGAAGCCCUUUGGGGGCAUUCAGUGCCGGAGAGAAGUUGUUAAGUCUGCUACUUGGGGAGUACGUCCGCAAGGAUGAAACUUAAAGGAAUUGGCGGGGAGCACCGCAACGGGAGGAGCGUGCGGUUUAAUUGGAUUCAACACCGUAAAACUCACCAGGGAAGACUGUUACAUGAAGGCCGAGAUGAAGACUCUGCUAGAUUUUCAG
This 264-nucleotide ribosomal RNA is filed under the name uncultured archaeon. RNAcentral describes it as "partial 16S ribosomal RNA". It matches the Rfam family "Archaeal small subunit ribosomal RNA", at positions 718 to 982 of the family's 1478-position model. The record is from RNAcentral.